CCUCCGGUAGCUCAGUUGGUAGAGCGGUGGACUGUAGAUCCAUAGGUCGCUGGUUCAAAUCCGGCCCGGAGGA
This 73-nucleotide transfer RNA is filed under the name Blattella germanica (German cockroach). RNAcentral's name for it is "tRNA-Tyr (GTA) (tRNA-Tyr-GTA-1-1)". It matches the Rfam family "tRNA". Rfam says of the family: Transfer RNA (tRNA) molecules are approximately 80 nucleotides in length. The record is from RNAcentral. RNAcentral also lists the same sequence under 1 other name. Lineage: Eukaryota; Metazoa; Arthropoda; Insecta; Blattodea; Blattellidae.